RNAcentral lists this ribosomal RNA (749 nucleotides) under uncultured Propionibacterium sp. RNAcentral's name for it is "bacterial SSU rRNA". It matches the Rfam family "Bacterial small subunit ribosomal RNA", at positions 94 to 856 of the family's 1533-position model. Lineage: Bacteria; Bacillati; Actinomycetota; Actinomycetes; Propionibacteriales; Propionibacteriaceae. The record is from RNAcentral.
AGUGGCGAACGGGUGAGUAACACGUGAGUAACCUGCCCUUGACUUUGGGAUAACUUCAGGAAACUGGGGCUAAUACCGGAUAGGAGCUCUGCUGCAUGGUGGGGGUUGGAAAGUUUCGGCGGUUGGGGAUGGACUCGCGGCUUAUCAGCUUGUUGGUGGGGUAGUGGCUUACCAAGGCUUUGACGGGUAGCCGGCCUGAGAGGGUGACCGGCCACAUUGGGACUGAGAUACGGCCCAGACUCCUACGGGAGGCAGCAGUGGGGAAUAUUGCACAAUGGGCGGAAGCCUGAUGCAGCAACGCCGCGUGCGGGAUGACGGCCUUCGGGUUGUAAACCGCUUUCGCCUGUGACGAAGCGUGAGUGACGGUAAUGGGUAAAGAAGCACCGGCUAACUACGUGCCAGCAGCCGCGGUGAUACGUAGGGUGCGAGCGUUGUCCGGAUUUAUUGGGCGUAAAGGGCUCGUAGGUGGUUGAUCGCGUCGGAAGUGUAAUCUUGGGGCUUAACCCUGAGCGUGCUUUCGAUACGGGUUGACUUGAGGAAGGUAGGGGAGAAUGGAAUUCCUGGUGGAGCGGUGGAAUGCGCAGAUAUCAGGAGGAACACCAGUGGCGAAGGCGGUUCUCUGGGCCUUUCCUGACGCUGAGGAGCGAAAGCGUGGGGAGCGAACAGGCUUAGAUACCCUGGUAGUCCACGCUGUAAACGGUGGGUACUAGGUGUGGGGUCCAUUCCACGGGUUCCGUGCCGUAGCUAAC